RNAcentral lists this ribosomal RNA (458 nucleotides) under uncultured bacterium. RNAcentral's name for it is "partial 16S ribosomal RNA". It matches the Rfam family "Bacterial small subunit ribosomal RNA", at positions 338 to 793 of the family's 1533-position model. The record is from RNAcentral.
CCUACGGGGGGCUGCAGUGAGGAAUAUUGGUCAAUGGACGAGAGUCUGAACCAGCCAAGUAGCGUGAAGGAUGACUGCCCUAUGGGUUGUAAACUUCUUUUAUAUGGGAAUAAAAUGUUCCACGUGUGGGAUUUUGUAUGUACCAUAUGAAUAAGGAUCGGCUAACUCCGUGCCAGCAGCCGCGGUAAUACGGAGGAUCCGAGCGUUAUCCGGAUUUAUUGGGUUUAAAGGGAGCGUAGGUGGAUUGUUAAGUCAGUUGUGAAAGUUUGCGGCUCAACCGUAAAAUUGCAGUUGAAACUGGCAGUCUUGAGUACAGUAGAGGUGGGCGGAAUUCGUGGUGUAGCGGUGAAAUGCUUAGAUAUCACGAAGAACUCCGAUUGCGAAGGCAGUUCACUGGACUGCAACUGACACUGAGGCUCGAAAGUGUGGGUAUCAAACAGGAUUAGAUACCCUAGUUC